GGGGAAGCUCAGCAGGGGACGUGCUGUUUGGCCCAGUUGUCCUCUUCAGUGGGUAUAAGGAAGAACUGCUCAUGCAAAAGCCUUGAGGCUGAAAGACUUAUUUGGAGGUGAAAACUCUGCAGAGAACUACAUGGUAUUUGCUAGUGGGUGACAAAAGAUGUCACUUGAUUUGGAGAAUCUGAAAGCCUGAUCUUGCCCUGGCUGGAGGCUCUGGCAAAGAUCUGUUCUUUGUUGCCAGCAGCUUAGGAGAAGUUUUGAACAGAAGUCCUCCCAGCUGACCUGGUCUAGCAAGGAGUGCUUCUCCCCUGCAGCAGGCUUGAGAAAGUCCUGCUACCCUUCUGCCCUGGCUCUUCCUGACAGUCGUGGCCUUUGGAAAGCAGCUGACCCCGUGGCUGGCCAGGAGGCUGCGUUUCCUUCUGCAGCAGCGUAGGUAGCAGAAUGUGCCUGGUUUUCUGGUCCUGUCAUGGUUUAAGUGUGCAGGGAGCACUUUGUGGGCCCCACCAGUGGCUUCCUUCUGGGAAGGGCAACAGCACUUCAGAUUUUUAAAGGAAGCAGAAAGGGAGCAGGUAAAUGGGUAAGGCUGGCUUCAGCUAGGAAUUUAUUUACUUCACAGGUCUGCAAUGCUGCUUAAAAGUGGUAGCUCUGCUGCCAGCCCCCCAGAUCCACUGCUGAACUAAAGCUGGCACUUUUAUGUUGACUCUCAGCUGUGUUUCUGUCACCAAAGUGUCAGGAUUUGCACUUGCUCUCACAGCACCGUUGCAGAAGAGCCCUAACCCGGCCGCCUUUCAUCUCAUGGAAGUGAAGCUGAGCCUCGCUGUCUCUAGUGUUCCGGCAGCAGCUGCAGCCAGCCCCAGAGCACCCUGCAUGUCAAACCUUCAGACUUAAACCUUAAGUGAGCUCAGGCGAGUGGCUGCAGCCCUGUGCUUGCUGUUCUGAAAGAACCAGGGGCUGGGCUGUGCAUGGCUGUGUGUUACUUGUGGUCCUCUGCUCCACCACGAGCUGCCUGGCCCUCCGGAGCUGCUGCUGCCUGCGUGUUACAGGAAGGGGCUGUGGCUCUGCCUCCCCUUUGACAGCACCUGACAGAAGGGCUGUUUUCUAGAUACUACAAGGGAUUGUCAUGGCAUAGCAGGGUCAUGUAGCAUAAGGCGUACCAUGUUACUGGGGGCAGUAUCGUUACCUGGGCUAGUUGAGCAGAAGCAAAGAAUGAAGUAUCAAACACUAACACCUGGGGAAGCAGCUUU
Long non-coding RNA from Oxyura jamaicensis (ruddy duck), 1241 nucleotides. RefSeq lists it as uncharacterized. The record is from RefSeq and is a predicted model, not a curated record. NCBI's taxonomy places the organism in Eukaryota, Metazoa, Chordata, Aves, Anseriformes, Anatidae. The transcript is spliced from 3 exons.